AUCCACGUUACCAUGGAGGCUGUGUUUUUUUUCAAUGACAGUCCUCCUUCCUAGGCGUGGUACAGAAAACUCUUGCUCUUAUUCAGAUGGUCUCUGCUGAUGCUGUCGCCAGAGCCGAGAAUAAGAAAGGAAACAUUU
Molecule: small nucleolar RNA, 138 nt
Organism: Poecilia formosa (Amazon molly)
Lineage: Eukaryota; Metazoa; Chordata; Actinopteri; Cyprinodontiformes; Poeciliidae
Source: Ensembl